ACUGGGAGCGUGGCGUCUCCUGUAAUCCGGCUGCUCGGAGGUCGGGUAUGGAGGAUGGUUUGAGGUCGGGAGUCCUGGUGCUGUGUGGCCCAUGUUGACUGGACGUCCACACUAAGCCUGGUAUUGAUAUGGAACCCCCGGAGGAGUCUGGGGGUUGAUGCACAGUAACAGCCUGACCAAUACAAUCAGACCCUUUCCUUU
This 201-nucleotide signal recognition particle RNA is filed under the name Papilio xuthus (Asian swallowtail). RNAcentral describes it as "Metazoan signal recognition particle RNA". It matches the Rfam family "Metazoan signal recognition particle RNA". Rfam says of the family: The signal recognition particle (SRP) is a universally conserved ribonucleoprotein. It is involved in the co-translational targeting of proteins to membranes. Lineage: Eukaryota; Metazoa; Arthropoda; Insecta; Lepidoptera; Papilionidae. The record is from Rfam by way of RNAcentral.